UUAUUGUUUUGGAGUGCCUGUUGUGGUCUUAUUCACCAGUAUAAAGUAAUCACAGCAGGCUGCAGUUAUUUCACUGUUCAUAUUUUCAAAAACUGUCUAAAAAAAGAUCUACUUAUGGAUGCAUUAAUGUAAUAAGUUUAUCCA
This is a long non-coding RNA of Melanotaenia boesemani (Boeseman's rainbowfish), 144 nucleotides long. RefSeq lists it as uncharacterized. The record is from RefSeq and is a predicted model, not a curated record. NCBI's taxonomy places the organism in Eukaryota, Metazoa, Chordata, Actinopteri, Atheriniformes, Melanotaeniidae. The transcript has 3 exons.